Molecule: ribosomal RNA, 121 nt
Filed under: Pteropus vampyrus (large flying fox)
Lineage: Eukaryota; Metazoa; Chordata; Mammalia; Chiroptera; Pteropodidae
Source: RNAcentral
GUCUACGGGCCAUGCCACCCUGAACAAACCCCAUCCUGUCUGAUCUCGUAAGUUAAGCAGGGGUGGGGCCUGGUUAGUACUUAGAUGGGAAACCACCUAGGAAGAGCAGGUGCUGUAGGUG